GAUGGAGAUGGAUGAGCACCCGGAUAUCCUGCCCACCCAGGGGCAAGGCAACAUCAUCAUUACUAAGUAUGAGCAGGGACGCUGAGCUGGGGCAGCAGUGGACACAGAGCAUGAGCGUGUUGACAUCUGGAAAUUCACCAGUCGUCUCUGGGUUGUGUGUGAGACAGAGCUGCCCGUGUCAGUGCCCUGGAGGUGCAAAGGUGUCAGGAAAUAAAAUGUACUGACAAGUGGCUGAAGAUGCUUGGAGACUGGCCAAAAUAUAAGAACAGCAAGACUGUCUCGAAGCAGGUACAAAGGCAUUCCCCUGGUGUGAGGCCAGGCGUGGGCACUUCUGCUAGACAUUGACAAAGUCAAGUCCCAGAACCCAGGAAAUACAAGAUGAAGGAGAAGGGCAAGAGGUCCUCCAGGAUCACCCACCGCAUCAAGGCAGAUGUCAGCCACACCCUGCAGAAUCACAUGAUGUGAGGUGGGCUACCACAGGGACCUGAGCCGCAACACUGCCGUCCUCCUUUAUCUGCCGGAGGAAGAUGCUUUCUGGGUGGCUGGCUCAGCUGCUGGCCGGUGAGAGGCACUCCCUGCAGGAGUAUUCCACAGCCCAAAUACUGCCCAGCUCCGGAAGCUCCUAUCACAUCAGGAGCAGGUGCUGCACAAGUCCUUCCCAAAGAUCAUGAGACAGCUGGGCAAGGAAGGGCUAUGCAUUGAGGGUUCCAUGCUGACGAGGCUCCUCCAGUGUUUCCUUGAUGGGCCACCUCACUGCUGAGAUGAGUCCCCCAUGAGGAGCUGCAGGACCUUGUCUGACCGCAGCCUCAUGGAGGGGUCUCAUCCCAUGGAAAGGGGUCCUCAGCACUCCAGAGGACUGAAACCCCAAUGGGUCCUGCUCAGGCCACCAGCCCCAGCCUGGAAAGGCCAGGUCCUCCCACACCUGCUGUCCCCAAAGAAAUCCUUCGGGCUCACCCUGCGACUGUGGGAUGUGCUUAUCUUGGAGGGCGAGCAGGUACUGACAGCCAUGGCGCAUGCAUCAUUCAAAAUACACAGGGAGCACCUCAUGAAGCUUUCCUGGAGCACCGUCUGGGAGUUUCAGGAGCGACUCUCUCAGAGCUGGGCCCUGGAGGACAACUCGGUCCUCAGGAACCUUCAAACCUCUAUGAAGGAACUCACAAAAAAACACUGGGACCUGCCAUCCCCAGGAGAACUCGAGAGAGGGUCCUCGAGGGUGUCUCCUGGCAUUAGGCCCCUCUGUGAGGGGGACAGAUUGGCCCUGCCCAGCCCACCAGCUCAGCUCCAGGGGCUCAUGCCAUCAGCCCCCCAGGACAAAAGCCUUGUCCUCCCCCAGCCUGGCCUGACAGGGUUGUCUCCAUGGCGGAGGCCAAGGCCCAGCAGCACGAAGGGGCUUCCCCAGAACCCAGGGCAGCAGGCUGCUCUCUGGGUGGCCCAGAGGAUCAAGAUGUGGCCACCCUGUUUCCCGGUGAGGUCAGGCCUCGUAUUACAUAAAAAUACCUGUGCUGGGACUCUAUGCCACACCUCCACACAGACCUGGAUGCUGGGAUCCAUGGUUUCCUUACUACAAUUUUGA
RNAcentral lists this long non-coding RNA (1573 nucleotides) under Homo sapiens (human). Its description in RNAcentral is "non-protein coding lnc-TNFRSF13B-5:5". The record is from RNAcentral. Lineage: Eukaryota; Metazoa; Chordata; Mammalia; Primates; Hominidae.